Molecule: ribosomal RNA, 320 nt
Filed under: uncultured eukaryote
Lineage: Eukaryota
Description: partial 18S ribosomal RNA
Rfam family: Eukaryotic small subunit ribosomal RNA
Source: RNAcentral
CCCUUAGAUGUCCUGGGCCGCACGCGUGCUACACUGAUGCGUGCAACAAGCGAUAUUCCUGAUCCGGAAGGAUUCGGGUAAUCUUCACAAUGCGCAUCGUGCUAGGGAUAGAUCUUUGAAACUAUGGAUCUUGAACGAGGAAUUCCUAGUAAGCAUAAGUCAUCAGCUUGUGCUGAUUACGUCCCUGCCCUUUGUACACACCGCCCGUCGCUGCUACCGAUUUUGAGUGGUCCGGUGAACCUUCUGGACUGAGGUUGGUCCUAUCCAGCUUUGGGAAGUUAAGUAAACCUUAUCACUUAGAGGAAGCAGAAGUCGUAACA